GUCGGCGGAACUUCCUCGUGUCGUCCUCAGGAAGAGAAGCAGUUUCCAAAGUGUCUUGAGUAGCCCAGGGUUGGGGGAGGCAAGGCUGCCAGCGUAGUGGCUUGGAGAACCGCUGGCACAAGGAAGUUCUUCAGAAUUUUCCAGAAGCGGUGCUAUUUCAGGAUGUGGUGGUGCUGAGGCUGUAAGGGGCCUUGUUAUUAAGUUUGGAAAUAGCAAACAGAACAGAGUCUCAAGGACUCCCCUUCUGCACUAUCCCUGCUUGUGAUGUUCAGAACACCUGGCAUUCUUACUGGGCCUGGCUCAGGGCUGCUGAGUCAACAGCAACAGUAGAUCUUCUCUGCCUGUUUCUUAUCAACUACAUGCCAGCAUCGUAGAGAUGACAGGAGUAAGAAGCUAUCUUUCUGUCAUUCAUUAAAUAUGGGCCACAUACUAUGUGCUGAUGUGUAUUUACUCUGUACCAUCCAGUGGGUUACUUUCUGUUCCCUGAUCUUGGCAAGCUCCUUGCUGUCCCAAGGCCUUUGUACUUGCUGUUCUUUCUGUGUGGAACCUUCCUAAUGGCUGCCACUGUGCCUUUUUUUUUUAAGUUAUCAUGUCUCAC
Phyllostomus hastatus (greater spear-nosed bat) is the source of this 598-nucleotide long non-coding RNA. RefSeq lists it as uncharacterized. The transcript has 3 exons. NCBI's taxonomy places the organism in Eukaryota, Metazoa, Chordata, Mammalia, Chiroptera, Phyllostomidae. The record is from RefSeq and is a predicted model, not a curated record.